UGCCGUAUGGUGUAAUGGUAGCACGCGAGAUUCUGGUUCUCUUAGUCUGGGUUCGAGCCCUGGUACGGCAA
This 71-nucleotide transfer RNA is filed under the name Bacteroidales bacterium. RNAcentral's name for it is "tRNA-Gln". It matches the Rfam family "tRNA". From Rfam's summary of the family: Transfer RNA (tRNA) molecules are approximately 80 nucleotides in length. Lineage: Bacteria; Pseudomonadati; Bacteroidota; Bacteroidia; Bacteroidales. The record is from RNAcentral. RNAcentral also lists the same sequence under 1 other name.